Long non-coding RNA from Trichechus manatus latirostris (Florida manatee), 479 nucleotides. RefSeq lists it as uncharacterized. The transcript has 4 exons. The record is from RefSeq and is a predicted model, not a curated record. NCBI's taxonomy places the organism in Eukaryota, Metazoa, Chordata, Mammalia, Sirenia, Trichechidae.
CCAACUCCAACCUGCAUAGGGGAAACACUUCCAUGCCCGGUAAUACCUGACUUUUACACUCGACAAAAGUUUCUACAAGAGCCUCCAGAGAGGAGGUGGAGAGCCCGACUGGGGCAAGGAAGACGCGGGAUCUGCAGUUCAUGAAUUGGGAACGGCUGGUCUGCAAGUCAGACAAGCGUUUUGAAGAGCAGUACAAAGCAAAAGGUUUGUUUAGUCACAGACACACAGGAACAAGGAAGAUAUACUAGGCAAAUUUUGGAUUGACUAGCAGAUAAGACAUAUCCACAUCACUGCCUGGUAUCCUGCUCUGGAGGAUGUGAGCAGACUGUUUACAAAAGGGUAGGACCACCACUUGUCACAACUGUACCAAUGAGCAACAUCUUGAUAAACAGAAAAUAUUGAAAUUGUCAAGGAUUUCAUUUUGUUGGAUCUAAAAUCAACACCCAUGGAAGCUGCAGUCAAGAGAUCAAACAACGUAU